Molecule: long non-coding RNA, 504 nt
Organism: Boleophthalmus pectinirostris (great blue-spotted mudskipper)
Lineage: Eukaryota; Metazoa; Chordata; Actinopteri; Gobiiformes; Gobiidae
Exons: 3
Source: RefSeq, a predicted model, not a curated record
AAGGGCACUCUCCGUAGCGUCUCGUUCCCUGACCUCGGCGCACUUCCGGGUUAGGGCCCCACCUUGUCGCGCACAGUGCCACCGCUCCCAGAGUCCCGAUGGCCCGAUCGAAGUUAUGGCUCGUGAGUAAAGCUCCUGUGUGUAUUUGCUGUUUAUCGCCACAAGUGCCGCUGUUAGCCGCUGUCCACGGUUGGGUCGGUGUUGGGUCGGUGUUGCUGUCAGAUGCCCCGGCCGCUCGGCGUCAAGUGUCGUGGAUGUGGAAGUGUGUGUUUUGUGGGUCCAGGGUGGUCUUCGGCAUGUCAUCUGGUGGAGCGGUGGCCCUGUGAACGAGCUGCUGCUUUGUUUUACUGUGUUUUAUAUUUUAAGGACAAAAUCACCGUACAGCUGCUUUUGUGACCGUUUUAUCGGCAGUUGUGUGAACAGUGAAUAGUCUACUCUUAAAGUUAAUCUAACAAAAGGAAACAAAUGAAUUAUGGCAAUAAUAAAUUACUUCAUGUUUUGUAA